GUUAGGGCCUCGACGGAGAUUUCCGGGCUUCCGGCUCCGACUCCUCCCCCCCUUUUGUGAACGUACCUCCUGUUUGCUUUGGCGGCUCCGGCCGCCAAAGGACCUCCAAACUCCAGUCAGUAAACGCAGACGUCUGAUAAACAAGUUAAUAAACUAAAACUUUCAACAACGGAUCUCUUGGUUCUGGCAUCGAUGAAGG
RNAcentral lists this ribosomal RNA (199 nucleotides) under uncultured Ascomycota. RNAcentral's name for it is "partial 18S ribosomal RNA". Lineage: Eukaryota; Fungi; Ascomycota. The record is from RNAcentral.